GAUGAACGCUGGCGGCGUGCCUAAUACAUGCAAGUCGAGCGAACGGACGAGAAGCUUGCUUCUCUGAUGUUAGCGGCGGACGGGUGAGUAACACGUGGAUAACCUACCUAUAAGACUGGGAUAACUUCGGGAAACCGGAGCUAAUACCGGAUAAUAUUUUGAACCGCAUGGUUCAAAAGUGAAAGACGGUCUUGCUGUCACUUGUAGAUGGAUCCGCGCUGCAUUAGCUAGUUGGUAAGGUAACGGCUUACCAGGGCAACGAUGCAUAGCCGACCUGAGAGGGUGAUCGGCCACACUGGAACUGAGACACGGUCCAGACUCCUACGGGAGGCAGCAGUAGGGAAUCUUCCGCAAUGGGCGAAAGCCUGACGGAGCAACGCCGCGUGAGUGAUGAAGGUCUUCGGAUCGUAAAACUCUGUUAUUAGGGAAGAACAUAUGUGUAAGUAACUGUGCACAUCUUGACGGUACCUAAUCAGAAAGCCACGGCUAACUACGUG
Molecule: ribosomal RNA, 497 nt
Filed under: uncultured bacterium
Lineage: Bacteria
Description: partial 16S ribosomal RNA
Rfam family: Bacterial small subunit ribosomal RNA
Source: RNAcentral